UGGGGGAUCGUCUAGUGGUAGGACAGCAGACUCUGGAUCUGCUUACCGAGGUUCGAAUCCUUGUCCCCCAGCCA
This 74-nucleotide transfer RNA is filed under the name Deltaproteobacteria bacterium. RNAcentral describes it as "tRNA-Gln". It matches the Rfam family "tRNA". From Rfam's summary of the family: Transfer RNA (tRNA) molecules are approximately 80 nucleotides in length. Their secondary structure includes four short double-helical elements and three loops (D, anti-codon, and T loops). Further hydrogen bonds mediate the characteristic L-shaped molecular structure. tRNAs have two regions of fundamental functional importance: the anti-codon, which is responsible for specific mRNA codon recognition, and the 3' end, to which the tRNAs corresponding amino acid is attached (by aminoacyl-tRNA synthetases). tRNAs cope with the degeneracy of the genetic code in two manners: having more than one tRNA (with a specific anti-codon) for a particular amino acid; and 'wobble' base-pairing, i.e. permitting non-standard base-pairing at the 3rd anti-codon position. Lineage: Bacteria; Pseudomonadati; Myxococcota; Myxococcia. RNAcentral also lists the same sequence under 1 other name. The record is from RNAcentral.